CCAAUAGCGUAUAUUAAAGUUGUUGCAGUUAAAAAGCUCGUAGUUGAAUUUCGGGAUCAAUAUGUUGGUCGUGCCUAGGUAUGUACUGGCAUUAUUGGUUUCUCCCUUCUGAAGAACCACGAUGCCAUUAAUUUGGUGUCGUGGGGAAUCAGGACUGUUACUUUGAAAAAAUUAGAGUGUUUAAAGCAGGCUCGCGCUUGAAUACAUUAGCAUGGAAUAAUGAAAUAGGACGUUUGAUUCUAUUUUGUUGGUUUCUAGGAUCGACGUAAUGAUUAAGAGGGAUAGUUGGGGGCAUUAGUAUUCAAUUGUCAGAGGUGAAAUUCUUGGAUUUAUUGAAGACUAACUACUGCGAAAGCAUUUGCCAAGGAUGUUUUCAUUAAUCAAGAACGAAAGUUAGGGGAUCGAAGACGAUCAGAUACCGUCGUAGUCUUAACCAUAAACUAUGCCGACUAGGGAUCGGAUGAUGUUAAUUUUUUAAUGACUCAUUCGGCGCCUUACG
Molecule: ribosomal RNA, 499 nt
Filed under: uncultured Glomeromycotina
Lineage: Eukaryota; Fungi; Glomeromycota
Description: partial small subunit ribosomal RNA
Rfam family: Eukaryotic small subunit ribosomal RNA
Source: RNAcentral